CUAUAAUCUUAAUAGUCAUGACUAUAGUCUUAAUAGUCAUGACUAUAGUCUUAAUAGUCAUGACUAUUAAGACCAUAGUCAUGACUAUUAAGA
Molecule: non-coding RNA, 93 nt
Organism: Paramuricea clavata
Lineage: Eukaryota; Metazoa; Cnidaria; Anthozoa; Malacalcyonacea; Plexauridae
Source: the annotation of a GenBank genome assembly